Molecule: long non-coding RNA, 2024 nt
Organism: Branchiostoma floridae (Florida lancelet)
Lineage: Eukaryota; Metazoa; Chordata; Leptocardii; Amphioxiformes; Branchiostomatidae
Exons: 2
Source: RefSeq, a predicted model, not a curated record
UCCAAACAGAUAUUUAUCAAAGUAAAUGUGUUUAAAAUUUAGUAUCAGUAGUUGAAUAAAGUCUUUCUCUUACCAUUUGUGCAAUUUUUAUUAAAAUACCUUGAAUAGUAAGCGAGAAAUGGCCCAUCGGGCGACGCGAGUUUCGUCCGCGGGGCCCCGAGCACCCCGCGCCCGCGCCGACUUCCGCGGCGAUCCGUCAUCACUUGGAGCUCAUUUCCCGAUGACGUGUACACAACAGCCAAGAAAGCUAGCCACCAAUUUGUAGCCAACAAUACGAGCUUCAAAAUGACUACUGCCCAUCGAAGCUACGACCUCCGAGUCAAAAAAUAUCCGCAAGUUAAACUUUAAAAGUGAAAUAUCUCUCGAAGUUACCUCCCUAAAAAUUUUCAAGGGCAUCGAUUUUCUAAAAAUUCAGAAGUUUGCCGUCAUUUUGGUACUAGAUUCGCAUAUUUCUGACCAAAAAUGGUGCUAGAAACAUGGGGCUACAUUUACCAUACCUCGGCGAGUUUGGAGAAAGAAAUCCAAGAUGGCGGACGCCGGCGGCGACGAUGACGCACGCUACCUUCCGGGUGCGAUUCCCGCGGCAUCCGACGUCACUGCGACCGCUGAUACCUCCCAAAAUCCAGGAAACACAAAACCAAUUGGGGAGGCGUGUGAAGAGGCAGGCAUCACACUUGAUGUUCUCCUCACUGCUCCAAUUCUACUGAAACAAGCCAGGACCAAGCCUCCAUGAACCAUCCAGUGCAGUCCACAUCACAUGAUGCUGACCAUCAGACCUUUGAGGAAGAAGAUGUGUCAAGGCUCAAUGCCCAGUUUGCCAUCAAACCAGCAAAGUGCAAACAGUGAAGAUGAAGUAUUCGGAAGUGUUACAGAAACACCUGAGGGGAACACGGAGAAUGAUGAAGAGGACUGUUUCACUGAUACGGACUCUGAGUUAGAUUAGAGUGAAUUGGAUUUAGUGAGAAUGAUAGUGAGGAGGAGGAAGACGAAGAAGAAAGGGAAGAUGAGGAUAUCACUGUGAAGCAGUCCACUGUGACUGCUGUACCAACCUGAAAAAGAAAAAAAAUUGAGUGAGAACAUGUUAGAAUAUUUACUGCACUGUUGGCUAUAGACAAUGUAUCUGUGAUUAACUUGCUGGUAAAAUGAUGAGCAGAUAGAUUCUUACUAAGAAUUCAGCUUGUCUAAAACUAAGCCCAGGGUAGGGAAAUCUGUUCUGGCUGUCAAAGGUGAUACUAGUACUUGCAUAAUUCAUUAUAUGGUCAUACGCAGUAAAAAAAUCACAUGAUGUCAGAAAACUCAUAUUUAAUGAUAAAAUACAUCAAUUCUGAUAGCAUAUUUGGAUUCAGCAGGUGCCAAAACCCCCUAGGAAUAAAGUUUGUAGAGUUUGAUCAAAGUAGUAAUGAAAUAUUGUAAUUACGCAUAUUUAAUGAGGGGACUUAGAAAUUAUUGCGCCCGAAAUCUCGUUUAAGGUCAUAAAACCAUACUUCUUGUUGAAAUGUGUCAAUUUUGAUAUCAUAUUUGGAUUCAGCAGGUCCCAAAACCCCCAGAAUGCAAGCUUUGCUGAAAUUGAUCAAAGCAUGUUAGAAAUACAUUGAGUUCGCAUAUUUAAUGAGGGGACUUAGACGUUUUCGCGACUAGCUUGUUUGGCGCACUGCCUCUGAAAUGUCAAUAUUUGCUAUAGUUCAGGAUUACGUAGCUCGGUAAAUAAUGAUACGAUGUGACUGUUUUUUGUACAAGAGUUAAUAUCACCACAUUAAAGUCUUUUAAAGGUGAAUUGCUGGCUUUGUGAUGUUCUGUUGUCGAUAUAUAACAGUAUGAAAAAACAAUAGAAAUGGCAUAUCUAAGAAAUCCGUAAAAUCAGAGGCUCGAAAUUGAAACUUAAAUUGCCAAUAUCUCAGCUAUACAACAUCCAAUUCACUUCAAACAAAUACCAUUUUGUUUCUUUCAGUGAGCUCUUUCUGAAUAACUUAAUUGUGACUGGCAUACAACAAUUUUAAUUUUUUGUCCAACACCCCUAGUAAUAA